RNAcentral lists this ribosomal RNA (498 nucleotides) under uncultured bacterium. RNAcentral describes it as "partial 16S ribosomal RNA". It matches the Rfam family "Bacterial small subunit ribosomal RNA", at positions 28 to 507 of the family's 1533-position model. The record is from RNAcentral.
GACGAACGCUGGCGGCGUGCCUAAUACAUGCAAGUCGAACGAGAGCGCCCGGUGCUUGCACUGGUCAAUCUAGUGGCGAACGGGUGAGUAACACGUGGGUAACCUGCCCAUCAGAGGGGGAUAACAUCCGGAAACGGAUGCUAAAACCGCAUAGGUCUUCGAACCGCAUGGUUUGAAGAGGAAAAGCGGCGCUAGCUUCUGCUGUUGGUUGGACCCGCGUCGCAUUAGCUAGUUGGUGAGGUAACGGCUCACCAAGGCCGUGAUGCAUAGCCGACCUGAGAGGGUGAUCGGCCACAUUGGGACUGAGACACGGCCCAAACUCCUACGGGAGGCAGCAGUAGGGAAUCUUCCGCAAUGGACGCAAGUCUGACGGAGCAACGCCGCGUGAGUGAAGAAGGUUUUCGGAUCGUAAAACUCUGUUGUUAGAGAAGAACAAGUGCUAGAGUAACUGUUAGCGCCUUGACGGUAUCUAACCAGAAAGCCACGGCUAACUACGUG